AUUUAUUUAAUUAAACUUAAAUAUUAAUAUUAUAAAUUAAUAAUAUUAUUAUAUUAUAAUAAAUA
RNAcentral lists this transfer RNA (65 nucleotides) under Choeras grammatitergitus. RNAcentral describes it as "tRNA-Met". Lineage: Eukaryota; Metazoa; Arthropoda; Insecta; Hymenoptera; Braconidae. The record is from RNAcentral.